Molecule: non-coding RNA, 32 nt
Filed under: Rattus norvegicus (Norway rat)
Lineage: Eukaryota; Metazoa; Chordata; Mammalia; Rodentia; Muridae
Source: RNAcentral
UGAGUGCAAAUCUACCUCACAUUUGUGUAUCU